GUGGGGAAUAUUGCGCAAUGGGCGAAAGCCUGACGCAGCGACGCCGUGUGAGCGAAGAAGGCCUUCGGGUUGUAAAGCUCUGUCAGGGGGAACGAUGCCGUGGCAGCCUCAUACGCUGUCAUGGUGACGGUACUCCCAAAGGAAGCGCCGGCAAACUCCGUGCCAGCAGCCGCGGUAAUACGGAGGGCGCAAGCGUUGUUCGGAAUAACUGGGUGUAAAGGGCGCGUAGGCGGCCUUAUAAGUCCGGUGUGAAAUCCCUCCGCUUAACGGAGGAAGUGCAUUGGAUACUGUAUGGCUUGAGUACGGGAGAGGGAGAUGGAAUUCCCGGUGUAGAGGUGAAAUUCGUAGAUAUCGGGAGGAACACCCGUGGCGAAGGCGGUCUCCUGGAACGAUACUGACGCUGAGGCGCGAAAGCGUGGGGAGCAAACAGGAUUAGAAACCCCAGUAGUCC
This 451-nucleotide ribosomal RNA is filed under the name uncultured bacterium. RNAcentral describes it as "bacterial SSU rRNA". It matches the Rfam family "Bacterial small subunit ribosomal RNA", at positions 354 to 796 of the family's 1533-position model. The record is from RNAcentral.